AGUGAACGCUGGCGGUAGGCCUAACACAUGCAAGUCGAACGGCAGCACAGGAGAGCUUGCUCUCUGGGUGGCGAGUGGCGGACGGGUGAGGAAUACAUCGGAAUCUACUUUUUCGUGGGGGAUAACGUAGGGAAACUUACGCUAAUACCGCAUACGACCUACGGGUGAAAGCAGGGGACCUUCGGGUCUUGCGCGAUUGAAUGAGCCGAUGUCGGAUUAGCUAGUUGGCGGGGUAAAGGCCCACCAGGGCGACGAUCCGUAGCUGGUCUGAGAGGAUGAUCAGCCACACUGGAACUGAGACACGGUCCAGACUCCUACGGGAGGCAGCAGUGGGGAACAUUGGACAAUGGGCGCAAGCCUGAUCCAGCCAUACCGCGUGGGUGAAGAAGGCCUUCGGGUUGUAAAGCCCUUUUGUCGGGAAAGAAAUCCAGCUGGCUAAUACCCGGUUGGGAUGACGGUACCCAAAGAAUAAGCACCGGCUAACUUCGUGCCAGCCGCCGCCGUAA
This 506-nucleotide ribosomal RNA is filed under the name uncultured bacterium. Its description in RNAcentral is "partial 16S ribosomal RNA". It matches the Rfam family "Bacterial small subunit ribosomal RNA", at positions 29 to 523 of the family's 1533-position model. The record is from RNAcentral.